AAUGAACGCUGGCGGUAGGCCUAACACAUGCAAGUCGAACGGCAGCACCGUAAGAUCUUGCUCUUACGGGUGGUGAGUGGCGGACGGGUGAGGAAUGCAUCGGAAUCUACUUUUUCGUGGGGGCUAACGUAGGGAGACUUACGCUAGUACCGCAUACGACCUACGGUUGAAAGCAGGGGAGCUUCGGACCUUGCGCGAUUGAAUGAGCCGAUUUCGGAUUAUCUAGUCGGCGGGGUAAAGCCCGACGUAGGCGACGAUCCGUAGCUGGUCUGAGAGGAUGAGCCGGCCCGCUAGAACUGAGACACGGUCCAGACUCCUACGGGAGGCAGCAGUGGGGAAUGUUGGAGAAGGGGCGAAAGUCUGACCCAGCCAUACCGCGUGAGUGAGGAAGGCCUUCGGGUGGUUGAGCGCUUUUGUUGGGAAAGAACAGCAGCCUGUUAAUGCCCCGUUGUUCUGACGGUACCUAAAGAAGAAGCACCGGCUAACUUCGUG
Molecule: ribosomal RNA, 492 nt
Filed under: uncultured bacterium
Lineage: Bacteria
Description: partial 16S ribosomal RNA
Rfam family: Bacterial small subunit ribosomal RNA
Source: RNAcentral